GAUGAACGCUAGCGAUAGGCCUAACACAUGCAAGUCGAGGGGCAUCACAUGAAGUAGCAAUACGGAUGGUGGCGACCGGCGCACGGGUGAGUAACACGUAUGCAACCUGCCUUCAACAAGGGGAUAACCCGUUGAAAGACGGACUAAUACCCUAUAACACAGGGGUCCCGCAUGGGAAUAUUUGUUAAAGGACAACCGGUUGAAGAUGGGCAUGCGUUCCAUUAGCUAGUUGGCGGGGUAACGGCCCACCAAGGCAACGAUGGAUAGGGGAACUGAGAGGUUUAUCCCCCACACUGGUACUGAGACACGGACCAGACUCCUACGGGAGGCAGCAGUGAGGAAUAUUGGUCAAUGGACGCAAGUCUGAACCAGCCACGUCGCGUGAAGGAAGACGGCCCUACGGGUUGUAAACUUCUUUUAUACGGGAAUAAAGUGCCCCACGCGUGGGGUUUUGCAUGUACCGUAUGAAUAAGGAUCGGCUAACUCCGUGCCAGCAGCCGCGGUAAUUCA
Molecule: ribosomal RNA, 510 nt
Filed under: uncultured bacterium
Lineage: Bacteria
Description: bacterial SSU rRNA
Rfam family: Bacterial small subunit ribosomal RNA
Source: RNAcentral